Molecule: transfer RNA, 57 nt
Filed under: Cryptocephalus flavolimbatus
Lineage: Eukaryota; Metazoa; Arthropoda; Insecta; Coleoptera; Chrysomelidae
Description: tRNA-Tyr
Source: RNAcentral
AUGGCCGAGUUGUAGGCGUUAAAUUGUAAAUUUAAGGACGAAUUAAUUUUCUCUCAU